GUAGAUAUAGUUUAACUAAAACAUUAGAUUGUGGAUCUAACCAUAGAGACUCACCACCUCUUAUUUACC
RNAcentral lists this transfer RNA (69 nucleotides) under Macaca fuscata (Japanese macaque). RNAcentral describes it as "tRNA-His". It matches the Rfam family "tRNA". Rfam says of the family: Transfer RNA (tRNA) molecules are approximately 80 nucleotides in length. Their secondary structure includes four short double-helical elements and three loops (D, anti-codon, and T loops). The record is from RNAcentral. Lineage: Eukaryota; Metazoa; Chordata; Mammalia; Primates; Cercopithecidae.